RNAcentral lists this ribosomal RNA (254 nucleotides) under uncultured bacterium. RNAcentral describes it as "partial 16S ribosomal RNA". It matches the Rfam family "Bacterial small subunit ribosomal RNA", at positions 524 to 776 of the family's 1533-position model. The record is from RNAcentral.
UACGUAGGUGACAAGCGUUGUCCGGAUUUACUGGGCGUAAAGAGCGCGCAGGCGGUCGUUCAAGUCGAGUGUGAAAGCCCCCCGGCUCAACUGGGGAGGGUCAUUCGAUACUGAUCGACUCGAAGGCAGGAGAGGGUAGUGGAAUUCCCGGUGUAGUGGUGAAAUGCGUAGAUAUCGGGAGGAACACCAGUGGCGAAGGCGACUACCUGGCCUGUUCUUGACGCUGAGGCGCGAAAGCUAGGGGAGCAAACGGG